RNAcentral lists this ribosomal RNA (273 nucleotides) under uncultured Lactobacillus sp. RNAcentral's name for it is "partial 16S ribosomal RNA". It matches the Rfam family "Bacterial small subunit ribosomal RNA", at positions 275 to 525 of the family's 1533-position model. The record is from RNAcentral. Lineage: Bacteria; Bacillati; Bacillota; Bacilli; Lactobacillales; Lactobacillaceae.
GAUGAUGCAUAGCCCGAGUUGAGAGACUGAUCGGGCCACAUUGGGGACUGAGACACGGGGCCCAAACUACCUACGGGGGGAGGGGGCAGCAGUAGGGGGAAGUCUUCCACAAUGGACGCAAGUCUGAUGGAGCAACGCCGCGUGAGUGAAGAAGGUUUUCGGAUCGUAAAGCUCUGUUGUUGGUGAAGAAGGAUAGAGGUAGUAACUGGCCUUUAUUUGACGGUAAUCAACCAGAAAGUCACGGCUAACUACGUGCCAGCAGCCGCGGUAAAU